ACUCAGUACAGACCCACUUGUAACCAGCUGAUCCACGCGACUCGAGAUUCUCAGAGCCGGAAACAUUGCAGACUCGCAGACCAUGGACAUGAGACUCGCUCUACAGAUCCACUAACCGGCUGAUUCGCGUGGAUCAGCCGGAGCCGGUUAGUGGAUCUAUAGAGCGACUGAAGUAUCCUCAAAAGCAAAUCCAUAACAAAAGCCUUUCACUUCUGAAAUAACAUGCUUAUAGGUUUUAGGUUUGGUGUGUAUGGUCAACCAUUUAAAAAAGAAGCCUAAUAACAAUAGCAUAAUAAUAUAGAGAAAAUAUAGAAUAAAACUGUCCUGCUAUUGUAGCCCUCAGAGCCGGAGAGACAGUUCGCGCAGAUCAGCCGGUUACGGAUCAGCUGGUUACGGAUCAGUCGGUUACGGAUCAGCCGGUUACGAGUUGAGAGACUCUCGAGUCAGAGCAGAUUCGCAUGUCUCUCGAGUCCGCAUGGUUUCCGGCUCUGGGUGAGAAUCUCGGGUCAGUUCGCGGCUCGCGCGGAUCCAUGGGUCUCUCGAGUUUGCAAUGUUUCCGGCUCUGAGUGAGAAUCUCGGGUCAAUUCGCGGCUCGCGCAGAUCCGCAGGUCUCUCGAGUUUGCAAUGUUUCCGGCUCUGAGUGAGAAUCUCGGGUCAGUUCUCGCGCAGAUCAGCCGGUUACGAGUGGAUUUGUAGUGCGAGCGAAGUCUCAUCAAUAAUGUUGAAAGAGGUUUGUGUGUGUGGUGGCGCUGUUUAUGGUUUUACAUUGAAUUGUAGUAGGACUCAACUGAUCCGGGUUAAUGACACUAGAGACUCGCGACUCAUGAGUUAAUUUAAAGAUCCGGGUUAAAGAUCCGAGUGAGUCACGACUCGAACAGGUCUAAUUCAGUAGAGUGUAACCUCAAUCGGUUUUUGCAGCUUCUGGGUGUCGUGUCGAACGAUCGCAGAACGAUUUUUUGUUCUUUUCCAACUCGAUUUUUAACUCCCUAGACUAGUAGGAUGUUCCAACGGGUGAAGCAACAGUGCUGACGGCAGAGUUUCAGUGUCAAUUUUUCAUACCAUGAUCACUGGGGCGGAAACCAUUAUGACGUUGCCUUGGACAUCAAACUAAACCAUCUCAUUCUGGCUUUUUUCUAACAUCGAAAUCUCAGAAGGCCAGGACUAAGAUGGACGCAGCCUCCACAUGCAACCUUGCAUUUGAGGAACACCCAUAGAACGGUCAACUUACCCCAUACUCUAACCUGAAUGCAGGGAUCAUAAAACUUUAUCUUUUACCUUAAUUGUUAGAUGGGUGUUGAUACCAAACUUUUUUGUCUCGUCUACCCAGGAGAAAGUCAUGGGUUCUGCUGCUGAGUGUCUUUUAUUCUGCUUACCUGACUCAUGCAGAAUUCUGGCUUGAUGUUUGGUCCACCUGUUAGCUGGCUCUGGUGCUUGGUAGUCUUCUCAAACCUCUGAAUCAAGGCCACCAUGAGAGGCCUUCUGAAGACCAUCAUUACGCUUCAGAUCCAGUUGUCUUAACUAUGAGCCUACCACAAUCCCUGUGCACCAGCUAUGGAAAGUGCAGACCAAACUUCUACCUCCACCUAUAGAACUGAACUGGAGUCUGUGAACUAAUGCUGUGUUCGAGACAACUGGAACAGCAAACAAAGUUGAGUAUCCGACCUCUCAACUUGUGACUGAUCGAUCAGCACCAACCUCAACGAGAUGCAUCAUUUGACAUUGCAGACAAGUUGGUGGCUAGCCUUUCACAGCCUUACAUGAACCGCAAACAAACUUUAAACUAUUUUUACAGCACAUAAUAUUUAUGAACAUGAAUGUUAAAUUAUCCAGUAACCAUUUUCUGCCAUAAUUGGCACAAGAGCACAAACUUCUCCUGGCGUCUCAUUAUGUGGUAAACACGCAAAUGUGAUAUGUGAUUGACUGGAAUGCAUUGAGGUCGGUGGUAGGAUAUUUAAUGACAUAACAUCAGAAAUCCGAAUUGUAACACUGCGCAAUAUUUCACAUAAUUGUCAUGACCUGAUUAUCCUCCCAUGUUUUUAACACAACCAUUGAUUGGUCACACGGAAGCAGAGACUUUGUCCUUUGUAUCUCUCAAAAAAAAGAAUUCUAUAUUUAAUGUUAAAAAACACUUACAGUAGACUGUGUUAGAUAACUGUGCUUUUGGAAGUCAUUUCUGAUAACCGCACACCUAACUUGUCUAAUGUCUUAAAAAUAGGCACCAGAGCAAUGUUUGUGGUAACCGUGGUAUAAGAGGAAUAAUUGACUCCGGUCCUUUGAAUUAUUUGAAAAUAAAGCACACCCGCGGUGUAACGGCACUCUGCUUCGCGUCGUGCCGCAUUGCACCUUGGGUGUGCAUUAUUUUCUUAUAAUUCAAUGGCCCGUCGUCAAUUAUUCCUUACAUAUUGAAGGUUGACAGGUUUGUUUGCAUGUAAUUGCAGUAUAAUUAAUUUGGGGUUGAUAGUCCAAUGUUGAUUUGAGAGAAAUUUUUUUUUUCUUUUUAAAUCCUUUCUCUUUUUAAUGCAGCACUUAAGGAUGAACCACCCUGAUCUACUAAGAUGCACAGAUUCAACUCUGGCCCAGCAUCAUCCCCACACCUCAUCUGCCAUCAGUUUAAUUUAAUGUCUGUCAAUUGCAAAUGCUAUUUAUUUCAGUUAUAUUACAACUUAAUGUUAACUUUAAUUGAGACUAGUAUUGUGUAAAGCUGGGGUUUCCAAACUUUUCAUUUCAAAACCUAUUAGACAAGUGUAAUCUAUUCUAGACCCACUAAAAUAUUUUUACAUAUACAUUUUUUUAAUGGGGUAAAACACAUUUGUUCUCUUUCAGUGGAGUCAUUUUAUUUUCAUAAUAUUUCAUAAUGUAAAGCAGUGGUUCUUAACGUUAUUCCUCGAGGCCCACUGCUCUGCACAUUUUGUAUGUCUCUUUUAUCUGACAGACUCAGUUCAGUUCAUUGAGAUCUCUUCUAAUGAGCUGAUGAUUUGAAUCAG
Molecule: non-coding RNA, 2984 nt
Organism: Paramisgurnus dabryanus
Lineage: Eukaryota; Metazoa; Chordata; Actinopteri; Cypriniformes; Cobitidae
Source: RefSeq, a predicted model, not a curated record